AUCAGGCUAUAUAUACAUAUUACUGUAAACUUCAGGAUUAAAUCAGAACAAAACAGUAGUCAUAGUUAAUACAUAAACGUUUUAUUUUGAUUUUUAGCUCAAUAAUAAAUUUAAUUCGAUUCUUAUGGAAUGAACGGAGCAAAAAAAAAAAGGAUCCGGCGACUAAAUCCGACUACCUGAAGUAUUUCGGCGCCGGAAGUCCGCCAACGAGAAAGCCUUUCCACCGGAAGUAAUUGUUUUGGGUCGGAGGUAAUGCGGAAACUUAUUGCGUUUUGUAAAUGUGAGCUGCGUCCGAAUUGCCAAGUAGUAGUCGAAGUAGUAGUCGAAGUAGUAUCUAGCAUGUCCGAAUUGGCCACCGGAGCGAGUAGCAUGCUACUUCAGAUACUACUUCAGAUGCUAGACACGCCCACAUUGUAGGUUGGUCUCGGUGCAUCCUACGGGCAUGCUACUGACCCAAAAUGCACCGCGGGCUUCUUCUUCGUCCUCUUAAAAGUUGUAGAAGCGCAUGUGAUGCUAGCGCCACCAGCCGCUCUGCCUAUUUAAAUGUGUCGCGAACGCCGGCUGGCCGCAGCAGCGCGCACCAUGUCGGAGCAGCAGCAGCAGCAGGCAGGACCGCAGCAGUACAGAUGUAAGUUUCAUGUAACUUCACACACUGUCCUAAAAAAUGUGCGGUUGUAUCUCUUUGUCAUGUCAUGGUGUCAUAUUUGCCCAAGUAAUCAUUUUAUGAGCAAGUGGCGAAAUCAUGGAGGUAAAGCUCACUUAUUCCAUCAUUAAACUGCACAGCUGCAGUACUACAGCCAGGCCCGCAGAUGAGGGGCUUCAGUUACCACUGUCUGCACGGGCGCAGUACCUACUCUCUGCCUGCGGGGGUCGUCUUUCCCCACCGCUCGUCUAGUGUGUCCGAAUUGGGCCAACGUUUUUAGUAUGUAGGAGUAGGAUCUAGCAGUAGCACGUAGCAGUAGCAUGUAGUAUCCGAGCGGGCAGUUCGGACGCAGCAGUGGUUUUCUAUCUUUGGGUCCGCCAUCUUGCGCUGCAUCUGGUCACCUCUCGGAAUAAGGGGGAUAUACAAAUUAAGGAUUUAUUUUUCAGACAUUUAAAAUUUAAAAACAAAAGGUGUAUCUCAUGCAGGCAGUUGAGCCAUCCCAUUCUAAUUUUAAGUCAAUUGAUCACAUGACCUAGAAGCUAAUGAGCUAAAAUGCGAAUAUUUAUGUAUAAAAAUGAAUUUAAUUUAAACGUACUCCACUACUUGCACCAUGCACAAAUACACCUCUUACACGUUUUGCUUUUACAUUUCAAAUCUCUAAUUAUUUUAAUUAUUUUAAAAUAUAUUUUUAUAUACAAAUAUUCGCAUUUCAGCUUCCAGGGGCUUCAUUUAUAAAACUGUGCAUAGAAAAUAUCACUACAGGUGGUUUACACCGGAAAAACAGGAAAUGUGUGCACAAAAAACUUUCAGAUUUAUAACAGUGCACAAACACAUCCCACACCUGUUUUCCAUUUAUAAAUCACAAUCAACUCUGAAAUUGUUACACCUGAGGAAAUGCUUUGAAAGUGGAGGUGAAAAGGUGUAUUGCCCUCCACAGAAAGAGUGUGUGCGCGAGUCGCGACAGGUGGGGGAAAGGGCACCACCACAGAGGAAAAGCUGGCGAAGAUCAUUGGGGAAUCCUUCCUUAGUGGUGUGGUGACGGAGGCGGAGGGGGACACAUAUGCACCAAAUGCGCCAGAAGCACCAGAUGAAGGUAAUUGUAUUUUGUUGGAAAUAGUAAAAAUGAAAAUUUACAAACAUUUGGAACAUAAUUCACAAUAGUUUACCUUAUUUAAAGUUAAAUAAAAUUUCUUAUUAAUAUAUGUCCCUGCAUGUUCCAGCUGGGUCGGUGGUGCUGCAGCUGUGACUGGAGAGAGUGAAGCCGGUGACUCCACAGCACCAGUGCGCCCUCCCGCAGCAGCCGUGUCCUCACAGCUGCAGUCCUGCACAUUAAGAGGGACACAAUCACAUCCAUCAAUGAAGUGGCCAAGGAGUUACGAGAAAUCAAAUGUGUCUUGACAGCCAUGGGUGCAACACUGAAACAGCUGGUGAACAAAUAAAAAAAGUUUUGCCUCUACCGCUUGUGUGUUGCAUCACUUUCAGCCGCUGCGUUUAUAAAUGAGGCCCCAGGUCAAGUGAUCAAUUGACUCAAAAUAAGUGUGGAAUCAGAGUACUCCACUGGCUGCAUGAUAUACACUUUUUAUUUUUACAUUUCAAAUCUCAAAUUUUAAGUAAUAAUAAUAGUGAAGGGUCACCACUCAAUCUGGAGUUAAGAGUUAAAUAUAUUGACUAUGAAUCAUAAGUUCAGUGUGAAUUUUUCUUGAUAUUCCGUGUACGAAUCACUCACUGAGCCCAAUUUACCGAUCAGACAUGAUAAAUAGCAUGCCAUAGGACAGUACACUUACAACAUCAUGACUUAUAAACAAGUUUAUUAUUACAAACCUGUUUGCCAAAGCAACAAAGCCAAACACUCUUGUCUACCAGUCCUAGAAGCCAUGUACUGAACUGAAUCCUGAAUCAUUCAGCUCUGUAUCAGUUCAGGAGGUUGGAGCCAUGGGCUCCUCCCGCCAAGCGCUUAAUGAUUCGGUUAACAAAUCUUUUGAAAAAAUCUUUUUAAUAAAAUGAUUCUAGUUAUUCAGUACAUCUAAAAGAACUGCCAUGCCCAUCACUAACUCUGAAUCUUUUAUUAUUCACCGAUUACUAUUUAUCCUCAUUAUCUUAUCAUUUAUUGCAUGUAUGCUGUACCAUCAUUUAUCCUGUAAUAAACAGAUCAUUAUUUUUCCAAGUUCUUGUCUGUUAGUGUUCUUCCAAAAGUGGAGUCCCUGAAAUGAGAAUUUCGGCUUGAGAUAUAGGAUUGAUUAAUUUAAAAUUGACUUAAUUUCUGAAUUAAACUUUUGUUUUUCUUUAUUUUCCCACCAUUAAGGAUGGGUGGUGCCCCUUUCUACAAGUGCAUAAAUGUCAUAAUUAAAGAUUAUUAUCAAUUAUUAAUCUUAAGACAUUUAUUAUAAAUUCAAAUCGAUACAAUGACAUGUAAAACCAUUGUAUAAAAGGUUUCGCCUUUAACACGUAGCAAAGCAUACAUAUGCAAGGCUUAUUGUAAAAAAUUAUUUUACAACUGCAUUUAUUCCAUAACAGUAGAUCAACUCACAUACACUUUCAGUGGGAACAGUGCUGCUGGUCUCCCAUUUUUGCCAGUGCAUCAAAGUCUGGGGUUAGUUUUGUUGUGGCAAUUCUCAGGAUAGAUCUGAGGUGCUGGUCAGUUAACUCGGAUCAGUGACAGGAUUUGUUCGUGUUCAUGACGCUGAAUGUCUGCUCACACAAGUAGGUUGAGCUAAAAAACACCAGCAUCUUCUGUGCCAUUUUCCAGAGGUUUGGAAAUGUGGCUUUGUUGAGUGAAGCAUAAAAGUCAUUCAGUUUAAGAGAGUCAAACUUCUCCCUUAAGGUGGAGUCAGACUUAAGAUUGAUCAGUUCUAAUUGCAGGUAUUGUGGUGCUGUUUCAGGGUUAGAUGACAGGGGGCAGAACACCAGCUGAAGUGAAUUACCGAUUCUUUCAAAAUCAGAGAACCAACGGCAGAAUUCUCUGUGCAGGUCAUCCAGUGAUUUGCUGUACUUCUUUGCAUUUUGGUCGGCCUCUUUCUGCAUGACUAGUGAUGGAAAAUGACAGAUUUGUUUGAAAAUUGUCUGGAGAAUAAAGUCAGCUUGGAUUUGAUGGGUCUCACAUUUGUGUACAUGUCGUGCACAAACUGAUCUUUUCCCUGUAGUUUCAAGUUCAGCUCGUUCAUGUGGGAAAAUAUGUCCACAGCAAACACCAAGUCACAAAGCCAGUUCUUGUCACUCAACUCAGGAAAUUCGUUGGAUUUCCCAACCUCCCCAAAAAAUGUGCAAAUUGCCUCUUUGAGCUCCCACACUCUUUAAAAAGUGUUUCCCAAACUUAACCAGCAGACAAGAGAGUAGUAAAGCAAGUCCUGGUGAUCUGCGUCCACUCCUUCCAAAAGACUUGACACUCCCUGUCCCCUUUACAGAAAGGCUCAGAUGUGCAAUGUUAAAAUGAAGAAGAGAGUGGUGCUGCUUUCAUGUGCGUUUGGAAACAUCAGAGAAACAAAUUCAGAGUUGACUUGGGCAAAAAGUCAUAUUUGUCAUCUCCAGUACAUGGCAGACAAACGAUCUUUUGUGAUUUGAAAAACCUUGCGCAAGCAUGUCCACAUAAGUGAUUCACACGUGUUAGAAAAGUUAUUUGUCAACAUCAACUUGGGAUUUAACCCUAAAUAAAGAGCCAAAUCGUUAAAUGGACCUAGUGUUUUUGUCAUUAGGGAUCAACCAAGCAGCACCUGAAUGCAACAUAAUAUACCACAAUCUAACAAGGGAAAAUGUGUCUGAGUGCACCAUCUGCCACUAACAAAUUACACUUAGUUAUAUAGAUUUAACAAGUUUGGCAGGCCGGUGUGGUGUGACUGGUGAGUUGUGAGGAUCCAGAAGCAGACACAGAGACAGAGAUCAACUUAAGGUGUAAUUUUAAUGUCCAACUCAGGUUUUAAAGGCAAAAAGAGGAAGUCCGGUAGGCUGGCUGGCUGGCUGUCGUGUGGGCUGGAGAUACUGCAGGAAGAAACAGAGGAGAGAGAGAGAGAGAAGUGAGUAGACAUGCAAAGGAGCAGAGUUACAAGUAUUUAUACAACAAGGAAGGCCAGGAGACGCGUUUGUACCACUUGGAAGGGUAGACAAUACUCAGGCGCUGAGACUGAGGGCUGCUGGCUUCUUGAAGUGCCUUGAUUGCAGAUGUAGAGCAGGUGUGUAGUCUCACUCAGCCUCAGCGACCGGGGGAGGGAAGGGAGCUCUGGAAGAAAGUCGGCCGUGCGGGUGAGUGCGGCCCUGGCGGAUCUCCACAACUCCCGUAGACGCCCAAUGUGCUCUCUCACUGAUGGGACGGCCACCAGGUGCUCCUGUUCGGGAAACAGGGGGGGCUGGUAACCAAAACAGCACAUGAAGGGAGACAUACCUGUGGCCGAAGAGGUGAGGGAGUAAUGGGCGUAUUGGAUCCAUAGGAGGUGCGUACUCCAGGACGCUGGAUGAUGGGCCGCCACACACUGCAGGGCCGAUGUGAGGUUUUGAUUAGCCUGCUCCGUCUGGCCAUUGGUCUGCGGGUGGUAACCCGAGGAGAGGCUAGCUGCUGCGCCCACUGCCUGGCAGAAAGCUUUCCAGACCUGGGAAGAGAACUGGGGACCACGAUCUGAUACUAUGUCAAGGGGAAUCCCAUGUAGUUGGAACACAUGAGAUACCAGGAGGUUAGCAGUUUCUAAAGCAGACAGGAGCUUGGGAAACGGGACAUAAUGAACAAAUUUGGAAAAUCUAUCAACGAUGGUGAGUAUGACUGUGUUACCUUCAGAAGGGGGGAGACCAGUGACGAAAUCUAGGGCUAUGUGAGACCAGGGGCGUGAAGGCACAGGCAGAGGACGAAGCAAGCCAGCCGGAGGUUGGUGGGAGGCUUUGCCUCGGGCACAGACGGAGAGAGAGUGAGACUGAGGGCUGCUGGCUUCUUGAAGUGCCUUGAUUGCAGAUGUAGAGCAAGUGUGUAGUCUCACUCAGCCUCAGCGACCGGGGGAGGGGAGGGAACUCUGGAAGAAAGUCAAGCCAACCAGACAAACACGGAAACACAGGGGCUGUGUCUCAUUUCAGAGACCGCAUCGGGAUAAGCGCGCUUAAGCGCGCUUAGCUGAGCGCACUGCCGUUUUGUGCUGUUAUGUGCCAUUAUGCGCUGUUAUGUACCCUUCCUGUGUCCCAAUUCAGAUACCGCAACCGUCGAACGGCGCAUUUAAAGCGUGCGUGAGUUCAUCACGCUGCCCGAACGGUGUCCCAUUUGGCACAAAAUGCAAAGCGUGCUUCAAAUUCGGUCUCAAAACCACACUGCCCCCGCCUCUUUUUCAAGCGUGCAUUUAUGCACGCUUUUGUGCCGUUGGUAUCCCAGAAUUCUUUGAGUGCCGCUGCACAGCUGCGCAUUUCAGGUGAGAGGCUGGACUCGCUUGGAGACGCAGCGCGUCUUCAAAGAAAAUAAAAGAAAUCCAAAAACAGCAGACAGUCAGCUCAGGCUGUAUGAGAGCAUGAUCUCUGAACUCACUAAAAUCUGCAAACCAAACAUUAUAGAUUUAGAGACAACUGAUCCGCUCUGCUUCAACUAUCAAAAACAUUAGAAAUAAGAAAGCUGACAAAACUACAGCAAAGGAAAAGGACAUCAUUGAGUUUUUUUUUUCUUUUAAGAUUUAGAGAUUAAAGUUGUAAAUUUAGGAGAAUAAAGUCAUAAAGAAUAUAAAGUCAUAAAGCUGCUUUUGUGGAGGGGGAAAUGACUGAAGCUGGGCAUCUGCAGGGUUAUCUGUUGAUGUAUCAGCGGGUCAUUCGAGGGAUUUUGUGGUUUCUGAAGAAACAAUCAAACUGAUGAUGAUCAACAUUUGUGAUCCAGAGGGAGUUGAGCUCCGACGAGCACCAAGUCUCUGACACCGGCGGUAGCCUACACCUGUAGAGACACCAACACCUUAUUAUGGCAUAUGGAUUCAUAUCAUAAAUUAAAGCUCAAUGUCAUUCACGGAUAUUUACGACUGCAUGAUAUAUCUGCAGCAUAUUCAUUUCUGCAUCCACAAAAGCAGCGAUUUCCUUCAAGUACACCAGUUUUUUUCCCUGUGGAAAAGACGUAUUUCUCAUAUAUUCUUUUUUUAAGUCUUUAUACUUAUGACAAUGUGAUGCUGAUGUGCCAAAGGAUGAAGUAUCUCCUUGUUUGUGAAACCUAUACUGAAGCACAGUUCCUUCAAAUGCUUCAUGGCCCUAAUUUUAACAAGUCUCCUCUGAUAUAACAGGGAACCUUAUGACUUUAUUCUCAUAAAUUAAUGACUUUAUUCGCGUAAAUUCACGACUUAAAUCUCAAAGUCUUAAAAAAAAAAUCUCAAUAUGGCCCUCAUACUCCUUCAUACAAAACAAUCAUUGGAUAAAUUGUGCAAAGCAUUCUGGGAUACAGACGGCACGAAAGCGUGCAUAAAUGCAUGCUUGAAAAAAUGCUAAGCGCGCUUAGCAUUUCUUAGCAUCUCGUGCCAAAUGGGACACCGUUCGCGCCGUCAUGACGUCAUGCACGCUUCAAAUGCACCGUUCGACGGUGCAGAAGUGCACUUAGCCCGAUGCAGUCUCUGAAAUGAGACACAGCCAGGAAGUCCAGCCAAAAUAAAACAGAAGGAGGAGGCGUGUCACCACAGCCAGAUUACAAAGCCCAACAGGCGGCACAUGGCCUGAGGGCCAAAAAGGGAAACAGUUUAGAGGUGAUAUGCCAAUGCCUAUUUAUUAAGUGCUGUCAUGUGACAAAGGGAAAGGGACCCAAAAUUCAGACUUAACUAAAAUAAAUCAAUCAACAAAAAGGGAAGGUAUAACAAAAACUUCCUUUGCAAAGCUUAAAAAAUGAAAUCCAAAUAAAUUCACAACCCCAAAAACACUAGAAGCAGGGAAGAGCAUAUAAGCACUGGAGAACUGGGAAUUCACAAGAUCUCGACAAAACAGGGACAGGCAACAUGGACAACAUGGACAACAUGGACAGGCAUGAACAACAUGAAUUUGCAUGGACAGCAUGGAUAGCAUAGACAGCAUAGACAACAUGGCCAAUGAACCCACCAAGAAGGAGAGGAAGACAGGGACCUUAUAUACAUAGGGAAAGAGCAGCAGCAGAGACAGACAAGACACACAUGGGAUUCAUAAGUAAUUAAAGAAGGAAAAACUAUGGAAGUAAAACUAGACCUGACACACAGGGAUUAACUACUACAAAAUAAAACAGGAGACACUGAAAACUAAACUAAAAAUCCAAACUGUGAAACACAAGAACUACAAGAACAUGAGAAUGAUAAACACAGGGAUAAUAAACAGGAACAACAGGGAAAUAAACAGAAAAUAAAACUAAAUUACAAAACCGGGGACAAACUAAACUAACAAGAGCCUAUCAUUACAGGUGUUUUGUUAUACACAUUUGUUCAACCUUUCUUUCUCUGAAAGAUGCUUUUUUUCAUACAGUUGUCAAAAGGGCAUAUGAGGAAACACUCUGCAAAGCUUUAAGCCUUAAUGUUUGAAUGUACAUCUGCCAACAGUAUUCUGCUUAUGGAGACUGCACUUCAAUUUGGAUUAUUGAAGGACUAUGUUUUGUCUGGCAUCAAAAUUAACUAAACCCAUAACUACCCACCUUGAUAGGUUCAGUUAAAAAUAACUGUGAGGUUAGAAGUUUGUUUAGAAGCUCUAAAUAGGGUGUGUUUAGGUUCUAUUUAGUUUCUAUAAUCCUUAUCUAAUUUUUCUUUAACUCAGUGUAUGUCUUCCUGUAUUCUUUUGUUUUACUCAGUGUUUGGGGGCACGGAGAUAAAGUUUGAAGAAAAUCUAACUUUUGUUUUUGUAAUAAUAAAAAGGCUCUUAUUUCUUGAAAUGUCUCAACCAUAAACAAGGAUGAUCUCAAUCACUGGGAUUAUAUGCAUUUUUCAUGUAAAUAAUAGAUUUUUGAUUCUUGGGGAUAUCUUGUAUAUAAUAACCAAGUUCAAAUUCUAUGUUGUUGGCUAUCACAAAUACUGUAAAGGGCUUAUGCCACAGGAAUCCAAGUGAUGGUGUAUGAUGAGUGGCUUGAUGGGUGUCCCUCAAAAUAUCAGUAACACCAUUGUAGCGCUAUUUUCCUUCGUUUUUGUAGUGAGUUUAAUCUGGGAGACAUCUGGUGCUCUGAAAACCC
This 8747-nucleotide long non-coding RNA is filed under the name Xyrichtys novacula (pearly razorfish). The record is from RNAcentral. Lineage: Eukaryota; Metazoa; Chordata; Actinopteri; Labriformes; Labridae.